AUCCAGUUGACGAGUCCCAAAUAGGACGAAACGUACAUUCUGGAU
Non-coding RNA from Schistosoma mattheei, 45 nucleotides. The record is from Rfam. Lineage: Eukaryota; Metazoa; Platyhelminthes; Trematoda; Strigeidida; Schistosomatidae.